UACGAAGGGGGCUAGCGUUGCUCGGAAUCACUGGGCGUAAAGGGCGCGUAGGCGGCCUGGCAAGUGGAAGGUGAAAUCCCUCGGCUUAACCGAGGAACUGCCCUCCAAACUGCUUGGCUUGAGUCCGGAGAGGUGAGUGGAAUUCCCAGUGUAGCGGUGAAAUGCGUAGAUAUUGGGAGGAACACCAGUGGCGAAGGCGGCUCACUGGACCGGAACUGACGCUGAGGCGCGAAAGCGUGGGGAGCAACGGG
Molecule: ribosomal RNA, 251 nt
Filed under: uncultured bacterium
Lineage: Bacteria
Description: partial 16S ribosomal RNA
Rfam family: Bacterial small subunit ribosomal RNA
Source: RNAcentral